Molecule: ribosomal RNA, 105 nt
Filed under: uncultured bacterium
Lineage: Bacteria
Description: partial 16S ribosomal RNA
Source: RNAcentral
AAGGCCUUCGGGUUGUAAAGCACUUUUGUCCGGAACGAAACGGCGGAUGCAAAUAACAUCCGUUAAUGACGGUACCGGAAGAAUAAGCACCGGCUAACUACGUGC